RNAcentral lists this ribosomal RNA (117 nucleotides) under Pteropus alecto (black flying fox). The record is from RNAcentral. Lineage: Eukaryota; Metazoa; Chordata; Mammalia; Chiroptera; Pteropodidae.
UCAUGUAAGAAUGUGACGCUUCAAGCCCGAUCCCGUCUAAUCUCAGAAGCUAAGCAGGGUCAGACCUGGUUAGUACUUGAAUGGAAGACCACCUAGGAAGACCAGGUUCUGUAGGCA